RNAcentral lists this unclassified non-coding RNA (235 nucleotides) under uncultured Agaricomycetes. RNAcentral's name for it is "sequence contains ITS1". Lineage: Eukaryota; Fungi; Basidiomycota; Agaricomycetes. The record is from RNAcentral.
UAGAAAUAAAACUUGGUCGAGUUGUUGCUGGCUCUUAGGGGCAUGUGCACACUUGAUUCAAUUUUAUCUCAACCACCUGUGCACCUUUUGUAGACUUGGAAUAUCUCUCGAGUCAUUCAUUGACUUGGAUUUUGAAGGGUUCGGAUUGUUCUGUUCCCUCGACUUUUCCGGUCUAUGUUUUUCAUAUACACUGUAUCGAACAAUACAAAUUGAAAUGAUCAAUAAAAUUGUAAUA